AAAUUCUAAGUGAAAUCCCAAGAUUUAGCAUCAUUAUGUAUUACACCUAAAUCAUCUAUCUAACGAUCACACACAAAGCAUAUAACAUGACAAACAUUCAAGCCACAUGACCUUGGUCCUCAAUCAACCCAAAACAAUGAAUGAACCAACUAAAGAUCACUUAUUCCAAAACAUGCACCAUUGAAUUCACUCAACAUAUGUAUUUAAGGCAAACGGAGCAAUCAAUGUGUAACCCACAUGGUACCUAAAACCGUUUUGUAGACAAUUAAUAAAGGAUGUCAUUCCAUGAAGGAAGCACCUCAAGAUUCCUAACGCAUGAAUUUCUAAAAAAAUAUUAAGAACAUGAACAAGUCAAUCAAGAAUAGAUCAUAGUAGCAUGUCACACCGUCAUUCUACAACAUAUUGAAAGCAAUUUGGACAAAUCUACUAUUUCAUCUUAAGACUAACAACAACUAGCCACAGAAAAGACAGCAUUGCAGUUCAAGACAAAUUCCAGAUUUCAAAGCUCAAUUUGAAAAAAGGAAAGGCAGGGCAAAUGAUAGGCAAAUUGGACAAACUAGGCAUCGUUAGAAAGCUUAAGGUGUCCUUUACGAAUUCCUAUUAGGUGACAAUUGCAAUUUAAGUCUUUUUCUAGCUCAAGCAAAGCCAUUUGUAUAAAUGGUCAGAUCAGAUCAUAACAAGCAGAACACAUCAGCAGAUUAGUGCUCUUGCAAGAAGCAUCAGGCAGGGAAAAUGAUGACCAAAUCGCACAUAUAAUAUGUCAUUAGAAAUCUUGAGAAGUCUCCUAUGAAUCCUUAGAAGGUCAUGAACACAAUUGAAAUCAUUUUCUAGCUCAAACGAAGACAUUUAGCAAAGAGGUCAGAUCAGUAACAGAAACAACCACACAGACCAGAACAACUUUCCAGAUUCUGGAGUAGACNN
RNAcentral lists this long non-coding RNA (921 nucleotides) under Eucalyptus grandis. Its description in RNAcentral is "long non-coding RNA (EGRA_LNC003630)". Lineage: Eukaryota; Viridiplantae; Streptophyta; Magnoliopsida; Myrtales; Myrtaceae. The record is from RNAcentral.